This is a non-coding RNA of Acanthosepion pharaonis, 114 nucleotides long. The record is from the annotation of a GenBank genome assembly. NCBI's taxonomy places the organism in Eukaryota, Metazoa, Mollusca, Cephalopoda, Sepiida, Sepiidae.
UUACGGACAUAUCACGUUGAAAUACCGGCUCUCACCCGAUCUGCGAAGUUAAGUAACGCUGAGCAUGGUCGUUACGAAGAUGGGUGACCGCUUGUGAAUACCAGGUGUUGCAAG